This 458-nucleotide ribosomal RNA is filed under the name uncultured Anaerolineaceae bacterium. RNAcentral's name for it is "bacterial SSU rRNA". It matches the Rfam family "Bacterial small subunit ribosomal RNA", at positions 910 to 1382 of the family's 1533-position model. Lineage: Bacteria; Bacillati; Chloroflexota; Anaerolineae; Anaerolineales; Anaerolineaceae. The record is from RNAcentral.
UUGACGGGACCCGCACAAGCAGCGGAGCGUGUGGUUUAAUUCGUUGCUACACGAAGAACCGUUACCUGGGUUUGACAUAUAGGUUGUAGGGAACUGAAAAGGGACCGACCCUUCGGGGAGCCUAUACAGGUGUUGCAUGGCUGUCGUCAGCUCGUGUCGUGAGAUGUUCGGUUAAGUCCGCUAACGAGCGCAACCCUCGUCGUAUGUUAUAUGUGUCAUACGAGACUGCCGGUAAAAGCCGGAGGAAGGUGAGGAUGAUGUCAAGUCAGCAUGACCUUUAUAUCCAGGGCUACACACACGCUACAAUGGUCUGUACAAUGGGUAGCCAAGCCGCGAGGCGGAGCCAAUCCUGAAAGCAGGCCUCAGUUCAGAUUGCAGUCUGCAACUCGACUGCAUGAAGCCGGAGUUGCUAGUAACCGCAGGUCAGCAAUACCGCGGUGAAUACGUUCCCGGGCCUU